RNAcentral lists this ribosomal RNA (498 nucleotides) under uncultured bacterium. Its description in RNAcentral is "bacterial SSU rRNA". It matches the Rfam family "Bacterial small subunit ribosomal RNA", at positions 28 to 523 of the family's 1533-position model. The record is from RNAcentral.
GAUGAACGCUAGCGGCAGGCCUAAUACAUGCAAGUCGAGGGGCAGCGGGGUAGCAAUACCGCCGGCGACCGGCGCACGGGUGCGUAACACGUAUACAAUCUGCCUUUAACAGGGGGAUAGCCUUUCGAAAGAGAGAUUAAUACCCCAUAACAAUGACUUUGGCAUCAAGGUUAUUUGAAAGCUCCGGCGGUUAAAGAUGAGUAUGCGUCUGAUUAGCUAGUUGGUGAGGUAACGGCUCACCAAGGCGACGAUCAGUAGGGGAUCUGAGAGGACUACCCCCCACACGGAUACUGAGACACGGAUCCGACUCCUACGGGAGGCAGCAGUAAGGAAUAUUGGACAAUGCCCGCAAGGGUGAUCCAGCCAUGCCGCGUGCAGGAAGAAGGCCCUAUGGGUCGUAAACUGCUUUUACACCAGAGAAAACCCCCCUUCGUGAAGGGGGCGUGAUAGUACGGUGAGAAUAAGCAUCGGCUAACUUCGUGCCAGCAGCCGCGGUAA